This 443-nucleotide ribosomal RNA is filed under the name uncultured bacterium. RNAcentral's name for it is "SSU rRNA". It matches the Rfam family "Bacterial small subunit ribosomal RNA", at positions 26 to 518 of the family's 1533-position model. The record is from RNAcentral.
AGAACGAACGCUGGCGGCAGGCUUAACACAUGCAAGUCGAGCGCCCCGCAAGGGGAGCGGCAGACGGGUGAGUAACGCGUGGGAACAUACCCUCCGGUUCGGAAUAGCUCAGGGAAACUUGGAUUAAUACCGGAUACGGCCUAGCGGCGAAAGAUUCAUCGCCGGAGGAUUGGCCCGCGUCUGAUUAGCUAGUUGGUGGGGUAAUGGCCCACCAAGGCGACGAUCAGUAGCUGGUCUGAGAGGAUGAUCAGCCACAUUGGGACUGAGACACGGCCCAAAACUCCUACGGGAGGCAGCAGUGGGAAUAUGGACAAUGGGCGCAAGCCUGAUCCAGCCAUGCCGCGUGAGUGAUGACGGCCUUAGGGUUGUAAAGCUCUUUCGCUAGGGACGAUAAUGACGGUACCUAGACAAGAAGCCCCGGCUAACUUCGCGCCAGCAGCCGC